This 269-nucleotide ribosomal RNA is filed under the name uncultured prokaryote. RNAcentral's name for it is "partial 16S ribosomal RNA". It matches the Rfam family "Bacterial small subunit ribosomal RNA", at positions 524 to 792 of the family's 1533-position model. The record is from RNAcentral.
UACGUAGGUGGCGAGCGUUGUCCGGAUUUACUGGGCGUAAAGGGAGCGUAGGCGGACUUUUAAGUGAGAUGUGAAAUACCCGGGCUCAACUUGGGUGCUACAUUUCAAACUGGAAGUCUAGAGUGCAGGAGAGGAGAAUGGAAUUCCUAGUGUAGCGGUGAAAUGCGUAGAGAUUAGGAAGAACACCAGUGGCGAAGGCGAUUCUCUGGACUGUAACUGACGCUGAGGCUCGAAAGCGUGGGGAGCAAACAGGAUUAGAUACCCUGGUA